UAAAAUUUGAAGAAGAGAGAAAGCAAAUCUUGCAUGCUUUCAACAGAUCCCACCUUCAAUUUUUUAUGGAUUUCAAAUUCAAUUAACUAGCAUUAAUAUCAUUGGAAACAUGAAAGAGAAAGAAUUAAUUUGAUAGCCAUCAUUACUAUCACCGAUUCCAAGCCAAAAGAAAGUGAGAAACUUAAUUCAUUUUCAUUCUCUCUCUUAGUUUCAUUGAAAGCAAUUUCAAUUUCUCUCUCUUCUCUCUCUUCUUUCUUCAAAUUUGGGUCACUUCACAAAAAAUAUGGAAGCUAAAGUAAGUUAUCAGAAGAAGGUGAAAGAAGCUAGUAGCAAGGCCAUUAUGAUGAUGGCGGAAAGAAAAAGAAAAUUUGAGUCUACAAAAGCAAUGCCAACCCUUCAAAUUCCUUCUUUGUUGCAAAAGUUUAGGCAUUGAAAAUUAUAUCAAACAAUGCAACAAACUUUAAGAGAUGUGGUCGAGAAGCAUUUAAGAAAGCAAUUUCUACUAAUCCGGGUCAAUUGGGUAAUUAUGCCAUGCAUCCUUCUCAACAAGGGGGUUUCUAUGCAGACUAAAUAGUGGCACUCAAUAAGUAUCUUUACUGCUUCACCGACUCAGAUGACCAGAUCAAAAAGCAUUGUACCUUCCACAAAUGAUUCAUUAACUACUAUAGCGCUCCCUUUUAAACACAUCAACAUUAUUCUUGUUACACUAAAUUCCAGAAUACAAAAUAUUAAUGUAACAACAUUCACGUCAAAAUAUUUUGUAGAGAUAACAACUAACUAAACGGUUUAAUAUAAUACAUAUCAACUUUUUAGCUAUCA
Molecule: non-coding RNA, 819 nt
Organism: Arachis ipaensis
Lineage: Eukaryota; Viridiplantae; Streptophyta; Magnoliopsida; Fabales; Fabaceae
Source: RefSeq, a predicted model, not a curated record